GGGUCAGUAGGUUGGUCGUGCCACCGGUACGUACUGGUCUCACUGAUUCCUCCUUCCUGAAGAACCGUAAUGCCAUUAAUUUGGUGUUGCGGGGAAACAGGACUGUUACUUUGAAAAAAUUAGAGUGUCUAAGGCAAGCUAACGCUUGAAUACAUUAGCAUGGAAUAAUGAAAUAGGACGAUCGAUCCUAUUUUGUUGGUUUCUAGGAUUGACGUA
This 216-nucleotide ribosomal RNA is filed under the name Glomeromycotina sp. RNAcentral describes it as "partial small subunit ribosomal RNA". The stretch from base 40 to 216 matches the Rfam family "Eukaryotic small subunit ribosomal RNA", at positions 686 to 864 of the family's 1831-position model. Lineage: Eukaryota; Fungi; Glomeromycota. The record is from RNAcentral.